GAUGAACGCUGGCGGCGUGCCUAAUACAUGCAAGUCGAACGGACAGACGAGCAGCUUGCUCCUCUUGCGUUAGCGGCGGACGGGUGAGUAACACGUGGCUAACCUACCUCUUUGUCUGGGAUAACCUCGUGAAACCGUAGCUAAUACCGGAUAAUCUAUUGAUGCGCAAGGUUGGAUACGGAAAGGCGGUUUUGCUGGCGCGUAUAGGUGGAUCCGCGUCGCAUUUGCUAGGUGGUAGGGUGACGGCUUAACAAGGCAACGGUGCGUAGCCGAGCCGAGGGGAUGAGCUGCCACACUGGACCUGAGACACGGCCCAGACUCCUACGGGAGGCGGCAGUGGGGUAUCUUCCACAAAGCGCUAAAGCCUGACCUAGCAACGCCGCGUGAGUGAAGAAGGGCUUCGGUUCGUAUAGCACUCUUAUUAGGGAAGAACAGCUGUGUAAGUAACUAUGCGUGUGUUGACGGUACCUAAACAAAAAGCCCCGGCUAACUACGUG
This 497-nucleotide ribosomal RNA is filed under the name uncultured bacterium. Its description in RNAcentral is "partial 16S ribosomal RNA". It matches the Rfam family "Bacterial small subunit ribosomal RNA", at positions 28 to 507 of the family's 1533-position model. The record is from RNAcentral.